UCGAGGAUCUUCGUCAAUGGGCGCAAGCCUGAACGAGCGACGCCGCGUGUGCGAUGAAGGCCUCGGGUUGUAAAGCACUGUCGAGGGGGACCAAAGCCGAAAGGUUUGAUCGAUCCCUGGAGGAAGCACGGGCUAAGUUCGUGCCAGCAGCCGCGGUAAGACGAACCGUGCGAACGUUGUUCGGAAUCACUGGGCUUAAAGGGCGCGUAGGCGGCUCGCGAGGUCGGGGGUGAAAUCCCACGGCUUAACCGUGGAAGGGCCUUCGAUACCGGCGGGCUGGAGGAAGGUAGGGGUGCGCGGAACUUCCGGUGGAGCGGUGAAAUGUGUUGAUAUCGGAAGGAACGCCGGUGGCGAAAGCGACACACUGGAUCUUGUCUGACGCUGAGGCACGAAAGCCAGGGGAGCGAACGGGAUUAGAUACCCGGGU
Molecule: ribosomal RNA, 427 nt
Filed under: uncultured bacterium
Lineage: Bacteria
Description: bacterial SSU rRNA
Rfam family: Bacterial small subunit ribosomal RNA
Source: RNAcentral